This 84-nucleotide transfer RNA is filed under the name Chrysochromulina sp. NIES-1333. RNAcentral describes it as "tRNA-Tyr". It matches the Rfam family "tRNA". From Rfam's summary of the family: Transfer RNA (tRNA) molecules are approximately 80 nucleotides in length. Lineage: Eukaryota; Haptophyta; Prymnesiales; Chrysochromulinaceae. The record is from RNAcentral.
UAAAAGGUGGGUGAAUUGGUUAAGCCGUAAAAUUGUAAAUUUUAUUUUCAAUUGAAAAUGUAAGUUCGAGUCUUACCCUUUUAA